AAGGGAAAACAUUUAGGGAGGGAGAGAGACUGACGACGAAGAACGCGAGAGGGUGAGCGAGAGAGAGAUCGACGAACGCAGAGUGGAAGGGUAAGAGAUCGAGACUGAAGACGGGCGAUUGCAAGCUAUGAACCCUAAUUUGAGAGUUUGAGUGCGCCGACGAGGGGAGAGCGUGCAAGUUUAUUUGGCUGAGCUGAUUAAUUGAGUGCCCUAAAACACCAAUUUCUAUCGUUUUUCCACUUGACGAUAAUUUCAGGCUCCGGCGAAAGAGAGACGCCGAUGGGCUUUAUCAGAAGUAGCUUCUCCUUUAUAGUGGGAACGGUGUUUGGCAUUUACGUGGCUCAAAAUUACAGUGUUCCCAACAUCAGGAAGCUCGCCAAUACUGGGAUUCUGAUGGCCCAACACAUCGAAGAGAACUACAGGAAGCCAAAGAAGCGGGAGGACGAUGAUUGAAUGGAAGAUUUACGAGCCAGGUAAAUCACAACCUUGAUUCGCCAGCUAAUUUAUGCAGUUGUGAUAUCUUUAGCCAAGUGGAGGUUCUUCAAAGACUCCAGAAAGUUUGAAACUUGACCCACGGGCUGGAUCUUAUGCCCAUUACUAUGCUAUGGUUUUCUAUAUGCUGUUGGUUUCACUGGCUUCAUUUUGACUAUACCCAUUGUCCAUCCCCAACGCCUCUAUCUCAUGAUCAUGUAAUGGUGAAAAUUCCAACCGAUCGAGAGUAGUAAUAUCUUGUCGAGAGACAAUAACCAAACGCAGAUGUUCUACUAAUACAUGAA
Cucurbita pepo subsp. pepo (vegetable marrow) is the source of this 776-nucleotide RNA transcript. RefSeq lists it as uncharacterized. The record is from RefSeq and is a predicted model, not a curated record. Lineage: Eukaryota; Viridiplantae; Streptophyta; Magnoliopsida; Cucurbitales; Cucurbitaceae.